This 1167-nucleotide ribosomal RNA is filed under the name Saccharomyces cerevisiae (brewer's yeast). The record is from RNAcentral. Lineage: Eukaryota; Fungi; Ascomycota; Saccharomycetes; Saccharomycetales; Saccharomycetaceae.
AUGAGAUUAAAAUUAUUAAAUAUAAUUUUAUCAAUAAUAAAUAAACUUAAUAAUAAUAAUAAUAUUAUUAUUAAUAAUCUAUUAGAUUCAUUAAUAAAUAAGAAAUUAUUAUUAAAGAAUAUAUUAUUAGAUAUAAAUAAUAAAAAAAUAAAUAAUAUAAAAAGAAUAUUAAAUAAUAAUAAUAUAAAUAUUAAUAAUAAAUUACAACAUUUAAAUAAUAUAAAUAAUUGAAAUCUACAAAUUUAUAAUUAUAAUAAAAAUAUAGAAAUUAUAAAUACUAUAAAUGAUAAAUUAAUUAAUAAAUUAUUAUAUAAAAUAAUAACUUUAAAAUUAAAUAAUAUAAAUAUUAAUAAAAUUAUUAUAAGUAAACUUAUUAAUCAACAUAGUUUAAAUAAAUUAAAUAUUAAAUUUUAUUAUUAUAAUAAUGAUAUUAAUAAUAAUAAUAAUAAUAAUAAUAAUAAUAAUAAUUAUUAUAUAAAUAUAAUAAAUAAAUUAAUAAAUAUUAUAAAUAAUAAUAUAAAUAAUAAUUUAUGUAAUAUUUUAAGUUAUUAUUAUAAUAAAAAAGUAACUAUUGAACCUAUUAAAUUAUCAUAUAUUUAUUUAAAUAGUGAUAUUUUUAGUAAAUAUAUUAGUUUAAAUGAUAUAGAUAAAUAUAAUAAUGGUAUCUUAACUAAUUAUCAACGUAUAUUAAAUAAUAUUAUGCCUAAAUUAAAUGAUCAUAAUAUUUCUAUAAAUUAUAUUAAUAAUAUUAAUAAUAUUAAUAAUAAUAAAUAUAAUAAUAUAAUUAAUUUAUUAAAUAAUAAUAAUAAUAAUAAUAAUAAUAUUAAUAAUAAUAAUAAUUAUAAUAAUUAUAAUAAUAAUUAUAUUGGUAAUAUUAAUAAUAUUUAUAAUAAUAUAACUAUUGAUAAUAUUCCUAUAGAUAUUUUAAUAUAUAAAUAUUUAGUUGGUUGAUCUAUUAAAUUUAAAGGUAGAUUAAGUAAUAAUAAUGGUAGAACUAGUACACUUAAUUUAUUAAAUGGUACUUUUAAUAAUAAAAAAUAUUUAUGAAGUAAUAUUAAUAAUAAUUAUAAAUUAAAUUAUAUCCCUUCUAAUCAUAAUUUAUAUAAUAAUUCUAAUAUUAAUAAAAAUGGUAAAUAUAAUAUUAAAGUUAAAUUAAACUUUAUUUAA